Molecule: ribosomal RNA, 374 nt
Filed under: Streptococcus mitis
Lineage: Bacteria; Bacillati; Bacillota; Bacilli; Lactobacillales; Streptococcaceae
Description: bacterial SSU rRNA
Rfam family: Bacterial small subunit ribosomal RNA
Source: RNAcentral
GACGAACGCGGCGGCGUGCCUAAUACAUGCAAGUAGAACGCUGAAGGAGGAGCUUGCUUCUCCGGAUGAGUUGCGAACGGGUGAGUAACGCGUAGGUAACCUGCCUGGUAGCGGGGGAUAACUAUUGGAAACGAUAGCUAAUACCGCAUAAGAGUAGAUGUUGCAUGACAUUUGCUUAAAAGGUGCAAUUGCAUCACUACCAGAUGGACCUGCGUUGUAUAAGCUAGUUGGUGGGGUAACGGCUCACCAAGGCGACGAUACAUAGCCGACCUGAGAGGGUGAUCGGCCACACUGGGACUGAGACACGGCCCAGACUCCUACGGGAGGCAGCAGUAGGGAAUCUUCGGCAAUGGACGGAAGUCUUGACCGAGCAA